AAGCCAUCUAAUGAAGAGUCGAAUCCUAUAAUAAAGAGAAGAAAGUGAGAGCAAGUGAACUGUUUCGAUGUUAUACUUUGUUGUUAAUAUACUCUCUCGUAUGUACGAGCACUAAUUAAGCUAGAUUUUAAUCUAAAAUAACUGUUUGGUUUUGAGUAUUAUAUAUAUGUGAAUUAUGUGGUUUUAAAUCUACAAGCUUGAAUAUUGCAAGGGGGUUUCGGACCAUGGAUUAAUUUCUCUUCUUAUUUAUCAUCUUAGAUUAUUUUCUACCGUGUAAUUCGAUUUGAACUUUAUGUGUUACUUUUUCUGUAUAUUAUUUUUACUUAGCACAUAUCGAAUUUUGAGAUUAAAUCCUUGAAUUUUUUGGAUUGAAUUAUUUUAGAUUUGAAUGUUUGUGUUACGAUUUUUUACGAUUUUUUUCUUCC
Molecule: long non-coding RNA, 425 nt
Filed under: Arabidopsis lyrata
Lineage: Eukaryota; Viridiplantae; Streptophyta; Magnoliopsida; Brassicales; Brassicaceae
Description: long non-coding RNA (ALYR_LNC000095)
Source: RNAcentral